GCGUCGGUGGUUCAGUGGUAGAAUGCUCGCCGGCCAAGCGGCGGCCCGGGUUCGAUUCCCGGCCGAUGCA
This 70-nucleotide transfer RNA is filed under the name Caerostris darwini. RNAcentral's name for it is "tRNA-Gly". It matches the Rfam family "tRNA". Rfam says of the family: Transfer RNA (tRNA) molecules are approximately 80 nucleotides in length. Their secondary structure includes four short double-helical elements and three loops (D, anti-codon, and T loops). Lineage: Eukaryota; Metazoa; Arthropoda; Arachnida; Araneae; Araneidae. The record is from RNAcentral.